This 443-nucleotide ribosomal RNA is filed under the name uncultured soil bacterium. Its description in RNAcentral is "bacterial SSU rRNA". It matches the Rfam family "Bacterial small subunit ribosomal RNA", at positions 59 to 519 of the family's 1533-position model. The record is from RNAcentral.
CAGUCGAACGAUGAACCACUUCGGUGGGGAUUAGUGGCGAACGGGUGAGUAACACGUGGGCAAUCUGCCCUGCACUCUGGGACAAGCCCUGGAAACGGGGUCUAAUACCGGAUAACACUGUGGGCCUCAUGGUCUGCGGUUAAAAGCUCCGGCGGUGCAGGAUGAGCCCGCGGCCUAUCAGCUUGUUGGUGAGGUAAUGGCUCACCAAGGCGACGACGGGUAGCCGGCCUGAGAGGGCGACCGGCCACACUGGGACUGAGACACGGCCCAGACUCCUACGGGAGGCAGCAGUGGGGAAUAUUGCACAAUGGGCGAAAGCCUGAUGCAGCGACGCCGCGUGAGGGAUGACGGCCUUCGGGUUGUAAACCUCUUUCAGCAGGGAAGAAGCGAAAGUGACGGUACCUGCAGAAGAAGCGCCGGCUAACUACGUGCCAGCAGCCGCG